UCCCUCCCACUAUUUCUCCCCCUUCUCUUCUCUUAAAAAUAACUGGCAAGCGGUUUGGGAAAACAAACCUCGUACUGGUGCUCAGGGGGUUGGUAGAAAAAGAGAAAGGAAAAAUGUUUCAGUACGUUUUUAAAAGCUGGUCCUAGCUCAAAAGCUCCUCCCAGUCGAACUGAACCACUGACGACGCUAAAAAGAGGCUGAUCCAGUGAGGAGAGGAGCGGGUCGCGCUGCAGUCAAGGGCAGAGGGUCCUGCGAUGAGGGUGGGGACUAAACUUAACCCUUAACUCAGUUGGGAUGAAAUCCAGCAGACACAGGGAGUCCCCAGGACCAGGGCUGGGAACCACUGCUCUAUAAGGUGUGGGGCAGCCAGGAUGGCACUGCCAAGGCACAGGGAUGUCAAACUCAGUUCUUGGAGGGCUGCAGUAUCUUCUGUCUUUCGUUCCACCCAAGCUCUCAAUCACUUAAUUUGUAUCAUCUUGUAUGGUCAGAGGCGACCUUACCCAUGUUUGACGUGUAUGUCUCUCUUGCAUCUGAACAUAAAGUGUGUCUGGAAAAUUAUUAUCAAUUGCAAUCAAACUGUAUGACAUUCUUUAUCACUAUUUAUUUAUUCAAAUCUGUGAAUCUGUCCAUCUGUCUAUGUGUCACACUUACAUUUUUCCAUAUUUAUAAAGGUUUCCCACAGUA
This is a long non-coding RNA of Acipenser ruthenus (sterlet), 684 nucleotides long. RefSeq lists it as uncharacterized. Lineage: Eukaryota; Metazoa; Chordata; Actinopteri; Acipenseriformes; Acipenseridae. The transcript has 2 exons. The record is from RefSeq and is a predicted model, not a curated record.